CAUUUCAAGGAGGUCAAGGCUGUAAGUAAGAGGAUGCCAGGGGCGGUUGUUACGAAGGCAAAAUGUUUGCAUUGUGCUAAAUUGUUUGCUUAUACUCCUGGGGGAUCAACUACUAGUCUCAAUAGGCAUAAAGAUGUUUGUUCAGUCUAUCUAAACAAGAAGGGAAGGCAACUACAGCAAGGUACAAUCAACUUUGAUCCUGAAAAGCCAGGUGCAUCUCUCAUAGUAAACCAUGAAUACAAUCAUGCGGAAGUCGUUAAGAUCAUAGCAAAGAUGAUAAUUGUGCAUGAUUAUCCCUUUAGGAUGGUAGAGCAUACUUGGUUCAAUAUCCUCAUGAGGUAUAUGAAUGUGUCCUACAAGUUCAUUGGUCGGAAGAAGAUUAGAGCUGAAUGCAUGAAGGUGUAUCUUUCCGAGAAAGAAAUUCUUAAAAAGCAACUUAAGUCUGUUGAAAGCAUUAGUUUGACAUGUGAUCUAUGGACUUCAAACCAAACUCUCUCAUACCUAGCUGUGGUCGCUCACUACAUAGAUGAUGAUUGGGUCAUGCAAUGUCGUGUUUUAAACUUCAUGGAGCUAGAUCCACCUCACUCGGGUAGUGCCAUAGCUCAAGCAGUUUUUGAGUGUUGCCAAGAAUGGAAAAUAGAAGAUAAGAUCAUGACAAUCACUAUGGAUAAUGCUUCCUCAAAUGAUAAUGCUGCCAAGAGAUUGAUGGACAAGAUCAUUGCUAGGAAAUCUACUAAAUUUAUUCCUAAGUACUUCCAUGUUCGCUGCUGUGCGCACAUUGUCAAUUUGAUAGUGAAUGAUGGCAUUGCUCUAUUGCAAACUUUGAUCAAUAAGCUUAGGGAUACUGUCAAGUAUUUGAAAAAAUCCCCAACACGCAUGUACAAAUUAUUGAUGGUUUGCAAGUCUCUGAAUAUGGAAAUUGGGAGAGGUUUAUGCCUGGAUGUUGCUACUAGAUGGAAUUCUGCAUGCAGAAUGUUAGAGGCUUGCACUGUGUAUAGAGCUGCUUUCAAGGAGUAUGCAGAGGUAGAUGCUACCUACAAAUGGCAGCCUGAAGAUGAAGAGUGGGCAUUAUAUGAGAAGAUUCAACCCAUCUUGAAAUCAUUUGCCGAGGUAACAACUGUAUUAUCAGAAUCUACCUAUCCUACUGCCAACAUUUUUUAUCCAUAUAUCAUAAUGUUAAGAUUGCUAUCGUAG
RNAcentral lists this ribosomal RNA (1194 nucleotides) under Triticum aestivum (bread wheat). RNAcentral describes it as "partial small subunit ribosomal RNA". Lineage: Eukaryota; Viridiplantae; Streptophyta; Magnoliopsida; Poales; Poaceae. The record is from RNAcentral.